Molecule: ribosomal RNA, 259 nt
Filed under: uncultured archaeon
Lineage: Archaea
Description: partial 16S ribosomal RNA
Rfam family: Archaeal small subunit ribosomal RNA
Source: RNAcentral
CAGCCGUAAACUAUGCGCGUUAGGUGUAUCGGUGACCACGAGUCACCGAGGUGCCGAAGGGAAACCGUGAAACGUGCCGCCUGGGAAGUACGGUCGCAAGGCUGAAACUUAAAGGAUUGGCGGGGGAGCACCACAACGGGUGGAGCCUGCGGUUUAAUUGGACUCAACGCCGGACAACUCACCGGGACGACAGCAAUAUGUAGGCCAGGCUGAAGACCUUGCCUGAAUCGCUGAGAGGAGGUGCAUGGCGUAGACGUCU